This 86-nucleotide transfer RNA is filed under the name Minisyncoccota bacterium. Its description in RNAcentral is "tRNA-Leu". It matches the Rfam family "tRNA". From Rfam's summary of the family: Transfer RNA (tRNA) molecules are approximately 80 nucleotides in length. Lineage: Bacteria; Bacillati; Minisyncoccota. The record is from RNAcentral.
GCCGAAGUGGCGGAAUUGGUAGACGCGCACGGCUUAGGACCGUGUCUCUUUAUGAGGUGGAGGUUCGACUCCUCUCUUCGGCACCA